GAUGAACGCUGGCGGUAUGCUUAACACAUGCAAGUCGAACGGACUCUUCGGAGUUAGUGGCGGACGGGUGAGUAACGCGUGAGAAUCUGGCUUUGGGUUCGGGACAACCACUGGAAACGGUGGCUAAUACCGGAUGUGCCGAGAGGUAAAAGAGAAAUUGCCUGAAGAUGAGCUCGCGUCUGAUUAGCUAGUUGGUGAGGUAAAGGCUCACCAAGGCAGCGAUCAGUAGCUGGUCUGAGAGGAUGACCAGCCACACUGGGACUGAGACACAGCCCAGACGCCUACGGGAGGAAGCAGUGGAGAAUUUUCCGCAAUGGGCGAAAGCCUGACGGAGCAAUACCGCGUGAGAGAAGAAGGCUCUUGGGUUGUAAACCUCUUUUCUUAGAGAAGAACAAAAUGACGGUACCUAAGGAAUCAGCAUCGGCUAACUCCGUG
Molecule: ribosomal RNA, 435 nt
Filed under: uncultured bacterium
Lineage: Bacteria
Description: partial 16S ribosomal RNA
Rfam family: Bacterial small subunit ribosomal RNA
Source: RNAcentral